Molecule: non-coding RNA, 185 nt
Filed under: Desulfovibrio legallii
Lineage: Bacteria; Pseudomonadati; Thermodesulfobacteriota; Desulfovibrionia; Desulfovibrionales; Desulfovibrionaceae
Also listed under: 1 other name
Description: 6S RNA
Rfam family: 6S / SsrS RNA
About the family: E. coli 6S RNA was the first non coding RNA to be sequenced, but its function was unknown until recently.
Source: RNAcentral
GUUUCCCUGGGGUGUGCGUGAUUUAUGCCUCGGUGCUAACCUGACAAGUAUUGUUAAAGGGAGCCGUCACUGUCUCUUGUGUGCACGCCCGGCGCGACCGGGAAGCCUGAGAGGGGCACACAGGCGCCCGACCUGGGUAUCCAGGUUUCUGUACCGCAAGCAUGACACGGCGCUCUGGGGAAGCG